AGCCAGGGCUGAGACCUACUGUCUUGCAAAGUCACCAAUCAGAGGUGGAGACUACAGAUUCAGCAAGACAUGACUUCAAGGUCUCUCCUUUCUGAUCUUGGGAUCUCACACCCUCAUCCUCUUGGCCGCCAGGAGGCUCCCCGGCUCAUCUGUGAUGAUCCUGAUGCUGUAACAUGCACAGGAGCAACUCAGAGUGACCAGGGAGUGGACUGGGACCUCCCUGCCUGCUGACCUCCAAGGACUUUCCAGGCCCACUCUGCUUGUCCUCCAGCCCCAGCCACUCCUCCAGGCCACCCUGGGGUCUCAGGGUCCUGGCCUGCCGGCUUCCCACGUGCUCCUUCCUCUCCAUAUUCCCUCUCUCUCUGUUUCUCUCUGUCUUUCUGUCUCUGUCUCCAUCUGUCCCUUUCUUUGGCUCCAGCUUUCUCUUGGAGAUCUCCUGGCCAGAGCUCCUAAGGCUGCAGAAAUCAGAAGGCUGCCCCUCAAGAGGACAGCAGCUCUGCCCUAGUAAUGAGGAGGAAGGAUAACUCUUCUCAGGAAUUAAUGAGACCACCAAGAACAAAAGAGGCGACCAGCAGAGGCCAGAGAGGCAGGGCCGCGUUAAGCCAUCCCCGCAGAAUCGCAUGCCAGCAAUAAUAGA
Molecule: long non-coding RNA, 637 nt
Organism: Homo sapiens (human)
Lineage: Eukaryota; Metazoa; Chordata; Mammalia; Primates; Hominidae
Exons: 3
Source: RefSeq, a predicted model, not a curated record